This 200-nucleotide ribosomal RNA is filed under the name uncultured bacterium. RNAcentral describes it as "partial 16S ribosomal RNA". It matches the Rfam family "Bacterial small subunit ribosomal RNA", at positions 8 to 218 of the family's 1533-position model. The record is from RNAcentral.
AGAGUUUGAUCAUGGCUCAGGACGAACGCUGGCGGCGUGCCUAAUACAUGCAAGUCGAGCGGAACUCUUCGGAGUUCAGCGGCGGACGGGUGAGUAACACGUGGGUAACCUGCCCUUGACUCUGGGAUAACCUCCGGAAACGGAAGCUAAUACCGGAUAUGACGUACGGAGGCAUCUCCUGUACGUGGAAAGAACUUCGG